Molecule: long non-coding RNA, 721 nt
Organism: Oryzias melastigma (Indian medaka)
Lineage: Eukaryota; Metazoa; Chordata; Actinopteri; Beloniformes; Adrianichthyidae
Exons: 4
Source: RefSeq, a predicted model, not a curated record
UGUGAAUAAUUUAGCUCGAAAUGAUUCUGAGGUUGUUUUUUUUAUUUGUUUAACUUUUGCUUUUGGUGGAGUUGAGCAGAUCCAUCGCCGCCACCGGCACUUGUUGGCAUUUUUCCGGCGGAGUCAAAACGAUCGCAGACUAGACUCCUGUAAUCCAGAAUUAACCAGUCUCCCAAUCCUGGAGCUGUUUGUCCAACAGUGAAGACCCAAGACCAGACUUCAGAAUGAACAGGAACUCUCCUAGAGUCUUCCUGAAGCUCCUUGAUCAGGAUCGGUGACAUUGAUCAUCCUCCUGCAAGUGUUGGAGCUGCAUCACACUUCUGUACCUCAUGUUGUCACAGCGUGUGCCAUCCUCCACAUCUGCCUCUGUGUUGACGACAACGAGGCCCCAGAGGAAGAUGUGGAGGUGAUGAGGAGGACGCUGGUUUGGAGAUCACAGCGGUGCUCUCUGGCAGGACCAACUACCGGCUGAGGUCUCUGCCCUGGGGGAGGUACCACCUUGAUUACUGGUAACAGCAUCCAUCGACAGCCAGCCCUGCAAACCCUGAAGAUGGACGAUGCCGUCUACAGUGAAGAUGAUCCUGAAACUCUGCAGACCACCUUGCAAGAUGUUCAAUCACCACUCAGAAAGUUCCAGCUCGGGUCUCUGUUGAAACAUCUCAUCCAUGUCAACCAUCUUUGUAAAUAGUUGGAAAUAAAAGUUACAAUUAAUCCAUGACAA